RNAcentral lists this ribosomal RNA (254 nucleotides) under uncultured bacterium. RNAcentral's name for it is "partial 16S ribosomal RNA". It matches the Rfam family "Bacterial small subunit ribosomal RNA", at positions 524 to 776 of the family's 1533-position model. The record is from RNAcentral.
UACGGGGGGAGCAAGCGUUGUUCGGAUUUACUGGGCGUAAAGGGCGCGUAGGCGGUCGUGACAAGUCACUUGUGAAAUCUCCGGGCUUAACUCGGAACGGUCAAUCGAUACUGCGGGGCUAGAGUGCAGAAGGGGCAACUGGAAUUCUCGGUGUAGCGGUGAAAUGCGUAGAUAUCAGGAGGAACACCGGUGGCGAAGGCGGGUCUCUGGGCCGAUACUGACGCUGAGGAGCGAAAGCGUGGGGAGCGAACGGG